GUUCUAUGUCGUAUGGCCGAUGAUGAGAACCGGUCCUAUGUCAUAUGGCCGAUGAUGAGAACUGGUCCUAUGUCCUAUGUCAUAU
Haliotis rufescens (red abalone) is the source of this 85-nucleotide long non-coding RNA. RefSeq lists it as uncharacterized. The record is from RefSeq and is a predicted model, not a curated record. NCBI's taxonomy places the organism in Eukaryota, Metazoa, Mollusca, Gastropoda, Lepetellida, Haliotidae. The transcript is spliced from 3 exons.